RNAcentral lists this ribosomal RNA (426 nucleotides) under uncultured bacterium. RNAcentral's name for it is "bacterial SSU rRNA". It matches the Rfam family "Bacterial small subunit ribosomal RNA", at positions 354 to 796 of the family's 1533-position model. The record is from RNAcentral.
GUGAGGAAUUUUCCGCAAUGGGCGAAAGCCUGACGGAGCAAUGCCGCGUGAAGGAUGAAGGCCUAUGGGUUGUAAACUUCUUUUCUCAGAAAAGAAUUAUGACGGUAUCUGAGGAAUAAGCAUCGGCUAACUCUGUGCCAGCAGCCGCGGUAAGAAAGAGGAUGCAAGCGUUAUCCGGAAUGAUUGGGCGUAAAGCGUCUGUAGGUUGUUUAAAAAGUAUUCUGUCAAAGAUUAGGGCUUAACCCUAGAUAGGCAGAAUAAACUUUUAAGCUAGAGGUUAGUAGAGGCAGAGGGAAUACCUGGUGGAGCGGUGAAAUGCGUAGAGAUCGGGAGGAACACCAAAGGCGAAGACACUCUGCUGGGCCAAUACUAACACUGAGAGACGAAAGCGAGGGGAGCAAAUGGGAUUAGAAACCCUAGUAGUCC